UCUGAGUUAUAAAAAAGAGCAGAAUAGACACAGAGACACAUAGUGAGAAGACAGAUUCCAUGUGAGGAUUGUCUACAGGCAAAGGAAUCCAUGGGAACUCCUGGGAUACUGACAAAAAAGGACCUCCCCCUAGAGCUCUUGAAUUCAGGCCUCUAGUAGCCUGAAUUAUGAGAAAAUCAACUUCUGUUCUUUAAAGCCACCCACUUUUGGUAUUUUGUGUUACAGCAGCACUAGGUAACUAGAACAUAGCAUAUGUACAUUGCCAGAUUUUCAAUUCAUGUGACAAUUGACCACUUCAUUUUUAUGUUUGGCAGAAUUUUCUCUUAAAUUAUAGCCUGAGAAAGAGAAGGAGAACCUUAUGUAAUAGACAUAGUUAGUGGAGAAUUAUAACUUGCCAAAACCUCUAGAGAUAGCAACAGUCUUGGAAAUGGCAAUAAACUCUGCAGUGACCAUUACUGUAGGAUGGAUCAGUAUUCUAGAGAGAAGAGUAAUUAGAGAGAGAAAGAUAUAGAUAGAGAGAGGGAGGGAGGCGACACAUGAUAUGCAGAUAUGUACAAGCUCAAACAUAUUUUUUUUAUUUAAAGAUGACAGGAAUAUCUCUGAAGUUAGGCAACAGAACUUCAAGAUUUUCUUUUUUUCUAAACUGAAGACUUUCUUUUUUAAAGUUUACAUUGAGUGAUAACAUAAUUAGUAUAGUUGGAAAAUGCCAAAUGAAAAUCCUAACACAUGCUGUAUAUGAAUGUCUUCUCGGGGAAUUCUUGUGGAUGAUUUUUUCUUGUCAAGAGUGUAUGUCACUGAAUUGUACAUAAAGAAAGAAGACUAUCAGACUGGUGGUACCAAAGAUAAUCAAAAUAUGCUCGAUGGUGCUUAAGAAUUGCAGAGAAAGGAAGAGCUUUAUGUUAAAAAAAAAACACACACACACGAGCUAAUCGUAAAGAAAGUGCUAUAUUGCUUCCUACAAAUGUUCCUUCUAAUGCAGUACAUUAUUUUACAGGUCACCCUUAAUCAAAAGUCACUUUUGGUAAGGUAUAGAUAGGUAUGAUAGACAAAUGGCUUAAUCUAGUGGACUCUUGAUUAUUUGUAUAACUUUUUGUCAGCAAUAAAUAGCAAAAUUCUUAAAAUAUCUAUUAUGGCAUGUUGCAGAAAGCUCCAGAGUAAGCCAGGGAAAUCGAGACCAGGAGAAAACAAACUUGUUCUUUUUCUUCCCAACCAGAUCAGAAUAGGCACUGACCACAAGCAAUUAAAAGAGACACUAUGUUAGGGGUGCAGUGUGCCAAGAAUAGAGCAGUGGUACCCACUGUCUAUUAUCCCUAAUGACCAUCCUUGGUUUCAAUGCACGACACUCUCAUAGCAUGGUCCUCUGUCUCAAGGUGGCUGUAGCUGGUGAUGGCUUUACUAGCUGUGACUCCCCUUGGACCAUGGUAAGAAAGAAGCAAUAAAUCAAAUCACUUCCAAUCCUGCACUUGAAGCAUGAAGCUUCAGUUGCUUUUUUCUAACUAUUUUUCAAAAGAGUAAGAUUACACUGUAGGGAUACCACUUUAUGACCAAGAUAAAGAGACAAGUAAAGUAAAUCUGUUGCCAUCAAGUCAUUUCUACUCAUGGUGACUCCAUGUAACUCAGAGCAGAACUGUGCUUCAUGGGUUUUCAAUGGCUGAUUUUUCAGAAGUAGAUCACCAGGCCUUUCUUCAGAGGCAACUCUGGGUGAACUCGAACCACCAACCUUUUACUUAGUAGCUGAGCAUGUCAAUAGUUUGUACCAUUCAGGGACUCCUACAACCAAGAUAGGAGGAUUCAAUUUUUGUAUAUAGUUUUUAAUCCCCAAAUUUGCUCAUCAAAAAGUGUGGUCUGCUACUCAAAGAUUCAUCUCCCUGAAUAUUUUAUAUGACAAAUAGGGAGGAGAGACUACUUUUUAUUGGUUAUGUAACUCCUAAGUAGCAUUUGCUGGAAAUGAAGCCCUAAUUUUAUUUGUUGAAUCAUUUUUUUAUCUUGCUCAGUGAAACAAAGUAUAUUUAGCAAUACUAGGAAGUAAAACAUUUUUUGUUAUAAGUGGUUGCCAAUCAAUGUAAAGUUGUUACUUUGGGGUUUUUUGUUGUCACUGUAUUUUGUUUUUGUUUUGUUUUUAUCAAAUGCUUGUCAUCCAUAAUAACCUUACCUCAUCUCCAUCAGUGAGAUAAUAACAAACAAUAAUUUUUAAAAUUCCCAAUACUGAUGGCAAUUUGAAAUUUGUUAACAUCAUUAAAGGGAUUAAACCUAACCAUUCAAUGUUACAGUUUGAUUGUUUUAAUUUUAGCAAAAAUGUAGAAAUGUUAACCAAAACAUGCUAUAAUAUUUGUGGCUAGUUUUUGUUAGAAGUAAGCAAAAUCAUACAUAUUUUCAGCUUUUUUUGAAAAAUUGAUGGCAAAUAUUAGUCAAUAACCUUUGCUAGAUCAGUAUGGAGUUCGUGUCACAUUACUUUUCAAGUUUCUACGCUAACGUAAGGGGGCCAGGUUUUGGAAAUUUUGGCACUUUUACUUAGCAUCUCUAGAAGCCAAACCAGUCUCUUAAGUAUAACAGCACCUCUCUGUUAGCCUCCUGGAUUUGUUGAGCUAAUGUGCCAGCAGAUCUAUUCCUUAAGCUGUUACUUUUCCAUUUUUGAGGAGUAAUGUUCUUAGCCAACACUAAUGACUGGACUCUUCAUCCUCUAACUGCUAUAUCUAUAACACAGCCCCUCACUGGCAAAUUCUGCUUUUGGCAAUUGAAAACAUAAACAUAACAAAUAGCAUAAUGAUACACACAAAUCAAUUACAUUGAUUGGAGCUUGCAGUGUUGAUGCAUCAUUUAGCUUUGCAGACAGGUACCCUUGAUCAGAGUGUACAGCAGUUACCUUUGGCUCCCAGGGAACUUUUUGUUCGAGCACUGAACCUCCAGUACACUUUGGCAGUACAUCCAUUUUAAUAGUCAGUGGUGAUGCUUGGAUUUAAAGAGUGCUAAUGUUCUGUUGUAAUUUUCUCAGUAAUUUGAAAAGCACUUUGUGAUUUUUGCUUUUGAAAGGAGUAAAGAAAUAUAUCAGGGCCAUCACAAAUCUUUCAUAGCCUGAUACCAUUGCUCCCCCUACAAUCCACAGAUCUUUUAUUAAAUUCUACUAUGCCUCUGUGGGAAAUGUGAAUAGUCAUUGAAACUGAUUCUAUGCCAGGAUUUGAAAGCUGAUACACUGAAAAAUGUAGCCAGUAUCUGCACACCAAACUAGCUGGCAAUGGGAGAACUUAUAUGAGAAUAUGACACAUUUAAAUUUAGAAACAGAAUUAAAAAUAGUACCUGGGUUUUCAUUUCAAGGUCAUUCACAGACAUGGUCUCAAAGUCCUGUGAAAUUCCAUCCCACUUGGAUUCCAUUUCACUUGUGAGGUUUUUUAUCUUUUGGCCUGUUAAGACUUUUGUAGAUAUGCAAGAAAGGGAUCUAAUAUUUAUUAAGUAUCUACAACAUUCUUUAAAUUGUAAUAGAUGCUUUACUUUUAUCUAAUAAUAACAAUGAUAAGAAUAAUCUUAGCUUUUUUUUUGGACAGUUACUAGUGGCAAGACAGUGUGCUAAGUAAUUUUCAUUCCUAGCUAUACUUUUUCUCACUAGAAGCUUGGGAGUUUUGCAAAAGAAGAAAUUCAUGUGUACAGAGGUUAAGUAACUUGUCAAGAGUGACAGUCACUUUUAUUAAAUAGCAGAGCAAGAUUCGAACCUCAGUUUCAAAGCCCACAUUCUCAGCAGAAUUUCAAUGCAAGUUUCUGGAAUCAGACUGUGCUUUAGUGUCUUCUUUUGUGAAAUGCCAAUAAUAAUACCAAACCCAGAAGAGGGUUGUAAGAAUAGAAUUAGUGAACACACAUGAGAUUUUUAUGGUAGUGCCUAGCACAUGAUAAGCAUUCGAGAAAUAUUAACUAUUAAUAUUUUUUGUUUAAUGAUAAAAAUCAUUAUAAGGUUGUUAUAUUCCAGAAUAUAGUCAUCUUUCUAUUAUAAUCUGACCUUAUUUUACUAAAUAAGCACUAAAAUAAAAUCAAUAUACAAAUAUUUUCCUUUUAUUCUAACUUUCCUAUACUUUAAAGUAGCAAAGUUUAAAAUACUUACGCAAAGUAUUAUUUUAUUUAAUAUUUCUGACAUCUAUGACCUUCUGUGUAAAAUCAGCAUAUUGCAGAUAAGGAUGUUUCCAAAGCAAUACCCACAAAAAAUUUUACUAUUUGAUCCUCAAGAUACUAUUGCAUUUUGAAAUUAUUCAUCAUCCUAAAGAAAAUACAAAAUUGAAUACAAGGUAUCAUGUGAAGCUAACUCGGUGCUGUUAGUUGUUCUCACACCCUGAGAUAAUAUUCAGAGGUUCAAACACUGGUGAAUUUCUGAAACUGUCCCUAAAAUCCUUUUCUUUCAUAUUCUUAAUGGGCUAGGGAAAUCAUUCUAGCAUUUGAGAUGUCAGUCUACUUCUUGAUUUAUUAUACAUUAUCAAGUAGCAACCAGCCAAGUGGCUUUUGGCAAGACAGCUGUCCUUAAAAUGGCUGAGUUUUCAACAACUGUCUUGAUGAAGCAUCUUUUGAGUCUGAGAUCCUUCUCGGUUUACAAUAGCAAUAACAGUAUGUACUUCUGUUUCCCAGUGGGGCAGUCUGCUUGCUAAUAGCUGACCACUCUGAGUGUUUUUGUAACUGGCAUCACUUAACCUCUCAAAAUAGCAAUUUCAUCCAAGCUUACAAUUAAUAGAAGGCUUUUGAAGUGCACUAAAACCUUAGCAAGGCAUCCCAGCAGGAGGUGGCCCUUAAGAAGGCUUCUUCUACUCUGCUAGCCCUGUUAAUAUUACUUUUAAGUCAUGGCUGCAUUUCAAACAGGUCGAUAUUUAAAUGAGUCAUUCUAUAAGUAACAGUUGCCUUUAAAAUAGGAACCAAAAAACCAAACCUGUUGCCAUCGAGUCGACUUUGACUCAUGGCAACCACAUAGGACAGAGUAGAACUGCCCCAUAGGGUUUCCAGGGAAUGGCUGGUGGAUUGAAACUGCCACCAUUUUGGAUAGCAGUCAAGUUCUUAGCCACUGCGCCACUAAGGUUGGUGCUACAACUGAGGCAAGGAAUCAUUAGUAAACCAAAAACACCAAGCCAGCUGCAGUUCAGUCAGUUCCGACUCAUGGCGACCCCACGCAUGCAGAGUAGAACUGCACUCCAUAGGGUUUUCAAGCCUGUGACCUUUCAAAAGUAGAGUGCCAGGAAAUUCCUUUGAGGCACCUUUGGAUGGAUUACAAACUGCCAGCCUUUCAGUUCAUAUAUCAAGUGCUUAACCGUUUGCACUGUCCAGGGACCCCUGGAAACAUUAGUGCUGUUCAGCCAAUAUUUCUUCUCUGGUUUUCCUUUUCUUGGCUUCGUUAGGCAAGUCCAUGUGACCAAUUCUAGCCAAUGGAGUCAUGAACAGAAGUGACGUGGGUUCUGGGCCCAGAACAUUUAAUUGCCAAAGUUAAGACCCUGUGGUGAGCUGUCUUUUCUGCUGCCAGAGUGACUGGCAGCAUUUCAAAUAGUGGCUGCUCCAUCCAUCUGCCAGGUCUCUGAGAGACUAUGAUGAACAGAGCCCUCAACUGAUCUACUCUGGACAUAUGCAGUGAGCAAAACAAUAAACACUUGUAUUAGGUACUGAGACUUUUAGGGCUCUUUGUCACCACAGUAUAACCAAGCCUAUCCUGACUGGGAGCCCUGGUGGUACAGUGGUUAAGAGCCUGGCUGCUAAUCAAAAGGUCAGCAGUUCAAAUCCACCAGCCAUUCCUUGGAAACGCUUUGGGGCAAUUCUACUCUGUCCUAUAGGGUCGCUAUGAGUAGGAAUUGACUCGAAGUCUACAGGCUGUUGUUUGGUUGUAUCCUGACUCAGGCACUCAGUAAGAAUUACAAAUAAAAAUUUGUGGCCAUUCAAAGAGCAAACUGGAAAAGGUAAGCUGCUUUUUGUUUUGUUUUGUUUUUAAAGUUAGGCUUAUAGUCUUUAAUGGCAUACUUCUACUCAUUGGCAAUAGGCCAUCAAUUUUCUUUCAUAGGAAGUUGGAUCCAUGAAUUAUGAUGUCAAUACUUGAGUAAUCACUAAGGAAAGCUCUCCCUAUGAAUGUUUGCAAUAUCUGAGCUUUAUUUUAAUUAUACUAUGAAUAUGUCAUAACUAAUAAAAUUUUCCUUAUUUAUGGUGAACCUGGUGGCCAGUGGUUAAGAAUUCAGCUGCUAAUCAGUUCAAAUCCACCAGCCACUCCUUGGAAACCAUGUGGGGUCGUUCUGCUCUGUCUUGUAGGGUCGCUGUGAGUUGGAGUCGACUCGAAAGAAACAGGUUUUUGUUUUGUUUUUUAAUAAUGAAGAACUAGAGUGACGUAUCUUGUAAAUCAAUUAAUAUUUAUAUUCUGUAGAUUUUCAUUUGUCACAGUAGCCUGUAUUUUAUAGAUUUAUUAUAUUCUCGUAAUAAAAAAAAUAAAACAUACUAAUUAGAGGGGAGUUAUUAUUCCUCUUGCAGUUUUCUAUCUCUGAUGGGUAAUAAGCUAUGGUUCUCUUCUUCCUUUGGUCAGGAAUGUACUUCCCUCACAUGUCUUCAUUUCCUAUAAUAACCUAUGAUGUACCAUUAACCUUGAUAUAUAUAAAUCUUUCAUGAAUUGUUUUGCAUUUUUACUAUGUAUUAACUCUUGAAGUCAAAUCACCUAUGUUUAAAACUCACUAUGAAAAAUAGUGUUAAAAAAAUGUUUCUCAAUUUCAUUUUCUAAACUUCUUCCAAAACUCCAAGCAGGAGAAUAGUCUCUGUUCAACCUAUUUAGACCUUCCAUAUUCUGAUAUGUUUCAGUCUUAUUACCUCUCUCCUUUAGGUUUUCCAGGCCUAAGAGCUCCAAUAUUUUUAGUCCAUUCUAUUAUGGCAUCACUCUCAAUCCUCUAUCAUUUUCAUUAUCCAUUUCAGGUACUUCUCCAAUUUUGUACUGUCACGUAUUAAAAAAGUUAACAAUAGCCAAGUUUCAGAAACUAUAGUUUGUAAUGAUGAAUGGUUAUAUUAUAUUCAGAAAAGAAUCUCAGAUUGUUCUAAAAGAAUUCAAGAUUAUAAAUUUUACAGUUUUAGAAGGCCUAUUGAUUUAGGCAGUAUUUUCAUAAUAACCUAAAAUACCACUUUCUGUCACAAAAUAUUUUUAAAGUGUUUAAUUGUUUUUUCUCAGCCAUGCAAUGACAUGCUAUUUUUGUCUGCAAAGUGGUAUACAAUCAAAUUUCCUGUAUUAAUGGGUUUCACAAAUUACUAUAACUCAUAGCAAGGCAAACACUAUGAAACAAACUAUCUCUUGGCUGUUAAGGAAUGAAAUCACACCAUCUUGGAUGACUCAACAUGAGACGUGUGAAAUUAAUUUAUUGAACAACUAAAAUUCGAAGUCAGGUACUGAAAUUUAGCUCUUUCAUGGAAGAGUAGACGAUUUCUUUCAGAAUAUGUGUCUGACUUUGAUUAAAAUUCUUCUGUUAUGCUGUACAGAUGAAAGAACAAACUAUUUUUGUUUUAAAUGAUACACUGGAUUCUGAAACUGAGCCCAGAAGAUUGGAUGUAGAUUUCAAAGAACAGUACACAUCUGUGCACUAAUGCAUGUUCUUAAAACUCCACACCACAAGGAAAAGAAUAUGCCACUCUGGUUGCCGAAUGAUGAAGAUCCAUGAAGCAGAUCUGUAACCAUCCCAAAACCUGAAGUCCAGUCUAGUCUCCUGAAGAGUCCAGCUGAGAUUGGCAGCUCUGUAGACAACCUACAGAUUAAUGAAACCCUGAUUUUGAUGAAGUUUGGAGGCAGCAUGCUCAGGUAAGGUGAGCCCCAUUCCCGCUCUACAGUAUGAAACAUGAAGCAUAUAGGUCAAUAAGGAUCAGGUCAUUCCAGUUUCACUAAGGAGUCAUUUGGAGUUUGUAUGUGACCAAGUUCUGGCCAAUGGGAACUGAGAAAUCUGUUGGGGGUCUCCAGGGAAAGGUUUCUUCCUGGUAAAAGACAUAUGCACUAGGGGAAAAUGUUUCAGCCACCUUUCCUUUCCUGCCUUUGGAUGUUGUCAUGAGGACUUAAUGCAUAAAGUUGCUGCAGCCGAGGAGGUGGGGAUGAGGGAGAUUGAUGGCAUGUAUAGCAUGUCAGAGCAGAAGGAUAGAGCUUGGGUACCUGAAGGCAUUGUUAGGCUGCUGAGCCAAUUCUUAGAUCUGUUUCUCUCUGGACUUCUUGCUGAAUGUCAUAAUAAAUGUCAUUAUUGUUUAAGCCACAUAUAGUAGGGCCUUCUGUUACUUACAGACAAAAGCAUUCCAACUGAUAAAAGAAGUUAAAAGAAUGCAGUUCACACCAGUGUGGUUGCUUCCCUAACAAGCAAAGGCGAGACAAAGAAAAGAAAGGGCAUUACUGGCUUACUAAUGAGGUUUUUGUAGAUCUGGUAGUUCAGAGCUUGAAAUGCAUUUUUCCCUUAGAAAUACUAUAAAUGGUAUCCAGGUUCCCCCAGGUUAGCCCAUGAAGCCUGUUUAGUCCAAUAAUGAUGCAAAAUCUGUACAGUCUAGUAGAACUGAAUCACCUUGAAAAACAAUGUUUCCUUUGGAACAAAAAUGAAUUCAGAAAAAAAAAAUAAUUUAGAGAUCCAACUUAGCAAAAUAGAAUAUCAUCACCUCAAUGGCAAUAAAAUUGAGGAUUUCCCUUCUCUCAAGGACUGGGCAGGGAGAACAGUUAUUUAUCCACAUCCCAAAAGGCAAUGGUUAUACCUGUUCAGCCAGAGAGGCCAAAGGCUAGGCAGUGAUACAGAAGCAGGAGAGAGGCUUGGCAAAAGGGAGGUUUACAUGUUUUCUACCCCUUCCCCUCCAUCUCCAAGAGUUUGCCUAAAUGCUUCAAUUUCUAUAGCACUAUCUGUUGUUUCCAUGAAGGAGCAAUGGUAGUCGAGUGGUAGAAUAAUUGCUCUCCACGUGGAGACUUGAGUUAAAUUCCCAGCCAGUGCAGCUCAUGUGCAGCCACCAUCUGUCUGUCAGUGGAAGCUUGCGUGUUGCUAUGAUGCUGAACAGGUUUCAGCAGAGCAUCCAGAAUAAG
This is a long non-coding RNA of Trichechus manatus latirostris (Florida manatee), 9013 nucleotides long. RefSeq lists it as uncharacterized. The transcript has 3 exons. The record is from RefSeq and is a predicted model, not a curated record. NCBI's taxonomy places the organism in Eukaryota, Metazoa, Chordata, Mammalia, Sirenia, Trichechidae.